UCAGUCAGUCACAGACAGACAACAUGACAUUACACGUCGUAACUUUCAUAAGUUACUUAAAAAGUUUAACAGCAGAGAUCGGAUAGCAAAUCAACUGUUUUUAAAUAAUUUCAGCUGAAGUUUUCAUCCUACCUGGCUAACCGCUAACUAGGUGCUCGUGACAAUAGAAAUGAAAUGGUCUAAUCCAAUAAUGCAUGCCCACAACCUAAUGCCUUCUGAAGCAAAAUAAUUUUGUGUUGACAGUUGUAAAUUUUCAAGAUAUUGAUGUCUUCGCAAGAUCCCAUUCUUUGUUGCUAUCAGUUUUGCAAACAACAGCAAGAAAAUGCUGCUACUCAAGAUUUUAUGGUGACCAACACUUUGUUCUAAUUUAGGGCAAUGUAAGGUUGAUAAAUUUGAGGUUAAUCCCUCUUUGUCACUGUUAUAGUUGUUUGGAAACCAACAAUCCUACUAUGACUAUAUCUCCCCAGUAAAACUGGCCUCGUACUUCUCUGUUCUUCACUGGCCAGGUAAUCUCUCUGGGCACAGGCAGGGCAGUGUCACCCCCUGUCUUGAUUGAUUGCUCUUCUAAGUUGUCAAAUUAUAGCAAUUUACAUUUAUGGAAAUUCAUUAGUCUGUGCUCGCUGCAUAUUCAAGAAACUGCAAUCAUCUACCGCCAUACAACUUUCUACAUGUUCUAGAUACUGUUCCUACAUAGUGCUGGGAGUAAUGGCCAAUUUGAAAACAAUUCUUAAAAAUUUGCAUUCAAUCGAUUUUAAUGCUGGUAUAAAAUUAUAAAUACAACUUUUACAA
Molecule: long non-coding RNA, 789 nt
Filed under: Daphnia pulicaria
Lineage: Eukaryota; Metazoa; Arthropoda; Branchiopoda; Diplostraca; Daphniidae
Description: uncharacterized LOC124315735, transcript variant X2
Source: RNAcentral